Molecule: transfer RNA, 68 nt
Filed under: Salmo salar (Atlantic salmon)
Lineage: Eukaryota; Metazoa; Chordata; Actinopteri; Salmoniformes; Salmonidae
Rfam family: tRNA
About the family: Transfer RNA (tRNA) molecules are approximately 80 nucleotides in length. Their secondary structure includes four short double-helical elements and three loops (D, anti-codon, and T loops).
Source: Rfam by way of RNAcentral
CCCUCUAGCUCACUUGGUAGAGCAUGGUGUUUGCAACACCAGGGUUGUGGGUUCAAUUCCCACGGGGG